UUUUUGGUGCCAAAUGCAUAAAGCAAAUAUAAGUCAAUUAAUCUAAGGAUAGUUCUUCAUUUAGUGACCUUUUAUAAAAAGCAUUACUUUGAACGAAUUUUCUAAUUUAGUUACUUUCCCUGUUAAACUUAGUUUUCUAGUGUAAAAAUGGGGUCCUACUUUGGAAAGAUCCUCAGGUUUUCUCAGCUAGGAACAGAUUAUGGAAUCAUGUCUAUCUCUCUACUUUAGUGACAUUUAUGGAUCCUGAAAAGGAGUGUGCCAUCUGGAUGUACACGUGUACUGCAUCGACCUCUCUGCCAUGAUAUUAAUUGCUUCCCUGAAGCUACAUUCUUUCUUGCCAGUUCUGAAAACUCAUAUUUCAAAUGCUUCAAGAGUCAUAAAUAAUAGUCAUGAUUCUAUGUGGCAUGUGUAUUACAGCUAGAUCAGUUCAUACGUAUAACUUUACAUAGUAUCUUGUGUAAAAAUAGCUUUGGUUAUUAAAAUCAUUGCAAUAAAAUACCUGCACUAUAAUAUUAAGUGUGUUCUUUGGUACCUAGGUGAUUUUUUAAAUGGAUGGACUCUUGUUUCAUUUCUUAAAAAAUAUCUGAACAUUCCUUAACAAACAAAGAGAAUGCACUGGUUUAGGUGUCAUUCAAAUUUUCUUUGCUGGGUUUGAAUCUGCAUUUAGGUUGCGGGCCUGGCAGGUUCAAACGCUAGGCUAGACGAGCAAAAUCACUAAUCCAAUGAACUCAGACAACCCCAUACCAUGUUGGUUGCACUCCUAUAGCACAACCAUUUCUGAAGACCAGCUCUGCCUAAGUCUCUAACCACUGGUGGUGGUGGUUGUGUGUGUGUGUGCGUGUGUAUGUACGUGCACGCACACACACAUGCACACACACCCACACACAGUACUGAGACAUCAUACACCUUCGUGGCAUGGUAGAACAGAUGAGAAAGUUCUAUCUUAAAAGAUGUCCGCUCAAUGGCUCAAAAUCACUAUGCUCCAAACCACUAAACAGCCAAGCACAGCGAGGAUGGUCAUGGAUUGAAGGUGUGAGAUCCAGUGGUGUUUUCCUGCUCAUCAUUUGUCUUGCCAAGUCGCCGCCCCGCUGAAGUGUGUGUCUCCAAACAAAGUCAGAAUGCAGGUGAGCUAAGUCUUUGGUUUCUUUGGACUAUAAAUAACACCUUUUUUUUCUUCAAAUAUUUCUAAGUAUAAACCUGCUAUCUUGAGGUCCUGGUCUUUUAAAAAUUUUUUUUUUAAAUUUAA
This 1246-nucleotide long non-coding RNA is filed under the name Macaca fascicularis (crab-eating macaque). RNAcentral's name for it is "lncRNA (ENSMFAG00000056845.1)". The record is from RNAcentral. Lineage: Eukaryota; Metazoa; Chordata; Mammalia; Primates; Cercopithecidae.